UACGAAGGGGGCUAGCGUUGCUCGGAAUUACUGGGCGUAAAGGGAGCGUAGGCGGAUAGUUUAGUCAGAGGUGAAAGCCCAGGGCUCAACCUUGGAAUUGCCUUUGAUACUGGCUAUCUUGAGUAUGGGAGAGGUAUGCGGAACUCCGAGUGUAGAGGUGAAAUUCGUAGAUAUUCGGAAGAACACCAGUGGCGAAGGCGGCAUACUGGCCCAUUACUGACGCUGCUAGGACGAAAGCGUGGGGAGCGAAUGGG
Molecule: ribosomal RNA, 254 nt
Filed under: uncultured bacterium
Lineage: Bacteria
Description: partial 16S ribosomal RNA
Rfam family: Bacterial small subunit ribosomal RNA
Source: RNAcentral